RNAcentral lists this ribosomal RNA (309 nucleotides) under Curtobacterium sp. MCBA15_005. Its description in RNAcentral is "bacterial LSU rRNA". It matches the Rfam family "Bacterial large subunit ribosomal RNA", at positions 625 to 934 of the family's 2925-position model. Lineage: Bacteria; Bacillati; Actinomycetota; Actinomycetes; Micrococcales; Microbacteriaceae. The record is from RNAcentral.
GACUUAUGUUCAGUGGCGAGGUUAACCGUUUAGGGGAGCCGUAGGGAAACCGAGUCUGAAUAGGGCGAUUUAGUCGCUGGGCAUAGACCCGAAACCGGGCGAUCUAUCCAUGAGCAGGUUGAAGGUUGAGUAACAUCAACUGGAGGACCGAACCCACUGUCGUUGAAAAGCCAGGGGAUGACUUGUGGAUCGGAGUGAAAGGCUAAUCAAGCCCGGAGAUAGCUGGUUCUCCCCGAAAGCUAUUUAGGUAGCGCCUCGGACGAAUACCACAGGGGGUAGAGCACUGUUUCGGCUAGGGGGUCAUCCCGA